UACAGAGGUCUCGAGCGUUGUUCGGAUUCAUUGGGCGUAAAGGGCGCGUAGGCGGCGGGGUAAGUCUGGUGUGAAAUCUCGGAGCUCAACUCCGAAACUGCACUGGAUACUGCUCUGCUAGAGGGCUGGAGAGGAGAUCGGAAUUCACGGUGUAGCAGUGAAAUGCGUAGAUAUCGUGAGGAAGACCAGUGGCGAAGGCGGAUCUCUGGACAGCUCCUGACGCUGAGGCGCGAAGGCUAGGGGAGCAAACGGG
Molecule: ribosomal RNA, 253 nt
Filed under: uncultured bacterium
Lineage: Bacteria
Description: partial 16S ribosomal RNA
Rfam family: Bacterial small subunit ribosomal RNA
Source: RNAcentral